Molecule: non-coding RNA, 4628 nt
Organism: Pelobates cultripes (western spadefoot toad)
Lineage: Eukaryota; Metazoa; Chordata; Amphibia; Anura; Pelobatidae
Source: the annotation of a GenBank genome assembly
UGCUGUGUUUAGCUAGGCAGUCUAUUGCUGUGUUUAUCCAAGCAGUCUAUUGCUGUGUUUAUCCAAGCAGUCUAUUGCUGUGUUUAUCCAAGCAGUCUAUUGCUGUGUUUAUCCAAGCAGUCUAUUGCUGUGUUUAUCCAAGCAGUCUAUUGCUGUGUUUAUCCAAGCAGUCUAUUGCUGUGUUAUUUCCUAUACCACUUCAUGCUAUGUAGCUGCUGUAUCACUUGUUAACAUCUGUUGCUGUAUUGAGGCUAUUUAUCUGAUAGACUCUGUAUACUGCUCAUUGAUUUAUUGUUAUUCUGGGUUACUUUAUUCUGUUUUCUCACUCUGCUGUAUGGGGAAUGGGUGCCCCUGCUAUGAUGCUUUGGCUCUGCCUGUAAUCUGUUCCCCCUCCCCUCCCCGGGUUCCCCUGCUGGGCUCUGUCGCCCAUACCCUUCUCCCUUAUUCCCCACCUGCUCCCCGUGGCCCCUGGCCGCUUGCAGUGCCGCACGAUCACCACGCGGUAGGCCGCGCUCUGUUUUUGCAGCCACGGCAGCCAUUUUGUUGGAGCCGUGGCGGCCAUUUUUCAGAGCCACAUGGGCUCUGUGCGUUGCGAACAGCCAGGUCUCACCCAAGAACUGGCCUGCUGGCCAUGUGGCCACCCUCCUCUCUCCCUAUAUCAAGGAAGAUAGCCCAGUUUUUCAGCUAUCCCUCUACUUACUGUGCCUGUCUCACAUGCUGCAUAUGUAACAGAUCCUGGAUAGCAGAAUCUGUCCCAGGCAUGCUCACAACUGCAGCUUACUAUGUCUGAUGCAAUGUGACUAGGUUCUCUAUCUUAGCAGUAGACUUGUCACACUUUUUUUUACUAUUACAUGUGAAUCUCAGAUUUAAAGGGACAUGUUACUGCUCAAAUAAAAAUCUUUGUUUAACAAGAAUGUGCCACAUGUGUUUAUGCUAAUCAAGUCUUCCUCUAAGGUUCAGUCUUUUUCUCAUAAAAAUUAAUGGCCUGUUUUUCAGCACCUAGCUCCCCUGCCUAGGAUUUGCUGCCCUUCCUGCAAGGGACUUAAAAUUUUCCACUACACAUACACUUCAAAAGUGUAUCCUAAUAUAAUACCCGAGUGGUCUGUGAGUCAGCUUCUCGCUAUAUGGACCCUCCUACCCCUCAGUGGGGCUACUGGCCUCACAUUCAGACCUGUUAUUACUGGGGGGUGAACCCCCCCAUCCAUAUUUCUGGGGCUCUCCCUGCUACUGGACCAUAAUAAUGGACGUGUGACACCAUUGUGGGCUGGGUGACCCCCUCCCUCUGGCAACAUGGCUACCUAUGAGUACCCUGCUGGCUCUACAGCGUCCUGUAAGAUUAAUGCUGAGGGUGACCCCCUCCUGCUUCCUAUACUAAUGCUCCAGCAAUGUCCUGCUAUUAUCAUACCGAGGGGGUACCCCUCCUGCAGUCCGCACUGAGGGUACCCCUCCCACUGAUUGAGCUUCUGUUCUUACAGUGCCCUGCAAUACGCAGAUACUGAGGGUGACCCCCUCCUGUGGACUACUCUGCUGGACCUACAGGGUCCCGUUAUAACCAUAAUGAGGGUGACCCCCCCUCGCUGACUACACUGCUGGGUGUACAGACCUCUAUGAUACCACACUGAGGGUGACCCCCUCUUACCUACAGCACUGCUGGAUCUGCAAUGCCCGGUUCUGGUUAUAUGAGGGUGACCCCCUCCUGCCGUCUACACUGCUGGACCGGCAAUGUUUGGUUACUUUAUUAUACGGCUAACCACUUCGGCACUACUGUACCUACAGUGUCCGAUUAUGUUCAGACUGAGGGUGACCCCCUCCCCUGCUGGCCUAAACUGCAUGGUAUGCUUGUGCUUGUUGGGUGACCCCCUCUUGCACGCUGGGUGACCCCCAGCUGGCCGCACCACUGUACCUACAGUGUCCGAUUAUGUUCAGACUGAGGGUGACCCCCUCCCCUGCUGGCCUAAACUGCAUGGUAUGCUUGUGCUUGUUGGGUGACCCCCUCUUGCACGCUGGGUGACCCCCAGCUGGCCGCACCACUGUACCUACAGUGUCCGAUUAUGUUCAGACUGAGGGUGACCCCCUCCCCUGCUGGCCUAUACUGCAUGGUAUGCUUGUGCUUGUUGGGUGACCCCCUCUUGCACACUGGGUGACCCCCAGCUGGCCGCACCAGGUAUCAUUUGUGCAAUCACGGCUGAAGGACAGGACACCACAAACACCUGACACGGGGUUUGCACUCUAUCGGGGACUAACCAGUGGGUGUCGGUGACACGCGGAAACAGAUGUUUCCUUGGGACGAACGGCACGUUACCGCUUGGAAAGCGGAGAAGACUAAAUUCCCACUGGGAACGGACCGAUAUGACUUAUAGGUAUCGCCUAGUUGGUUUCUAUCCCUGAGAACCGCAAAACGGCCCCUGUCCAAGCUGGACAUCAAACUGAUGGAUUUAGCAUCCAAGUGCUGGGUCUGCUCUCCGGAGUUACCCUCGUCUACAAAUUGAGCCGACAUGUCUCUAUUCAUAGGGUUCCCCCUUAACUAGCCCAGAGGUCUCUCUGGCCGUGCCCGGACUCCAGAUCAAGGUUGCGGAACCUUGGACCGUUCCAUGAGCGAUACGCAUGACCAAAAGAGGCAUCCAUUCCGCAGUUGCCCUGCUGGGCAAAGGGUGCGGCGGAGUGGACUCCCGCCCCAUCCCCACGCUACAUGCUCCCAGUGCAUGUCGUCUGUUGACACAUUUUGAGACGGAGGGCACUCAUCCCCUCUGAGAGCUGCUCGGCGUUGACGAUUGGUUCUCUCCCUCAAAUGCACAUGAGAGAAACCCGCAUGGAUUUUGCCAUCUACAUGGACAUAUUGAAUCUGACUCACUCCAAGUCAACCCAGUUUCCGGUCUUUCAUGGAAUAUUCGGUCCAGGCGGUGCUCCGCCUCCCGAGGACCAAGAUGUCCGUCUUCAAGGAAAAUACCAGGUAUAUGCUUCGCAACCUGCGGGUUACACUUAGGGGCCCAACCCGGUUAAUUGACCGGUGCCUAUUCGCCAUGGAAGCCAUACCUCAAGGAUCCGGAUCAGCCGCUCCAACAUGGCGCUUUCUCGGGUCUUUGGCCUGGUAUGACCAAAUCAUGUGACCUUCGGAUGAAGCUCAUCUAAGACUUAUUUGAUGACUCCGGAGGAGGGACUCCUUUACGCCAACUGCAUGGAACUACCUGCAGGUUUGUUCAAAAUUCACAGUAUUGCUCGCUACCUUCCGGCAUGGACUUCUCACCGGUUGCCCACUACGGACUGCAGUCGGAUCUCACAUAGGAUCGCUAUCUAUAGCUUCUGGACAAGUAUUCGUCAUUUGUGACAGAAUGUAUGCGGGACGAGACACUUGUGUGGCGGACGGCUUCACCCGGCCAUGGAGAGACCCCAAUGUUUGGUUGCCUCACCCUCCAGGGUCUCGAGUACUGGCAUGAUUACAUUCGGUGCGAACCGCCAUAUGGAGCGGUUCUCCAACUGGCUGCCGGACCCUCAGCGAGGCGAGGGACGAGUUUUCCAAGCUUGGUCUCCUUCGGGGCGUACGCAUCCCGUUUACCUACAGGAUACUCUGGGUUUUUGCUUCAGACCGAAUUCCUGGAAGUGUCGUUUCGCCUGGCCAAACCACUUCGGAGGAGUCCUGCGUGCUCUCCCCUUUUUGCUCGAGUUUGCCAUGGGAAGGCAAUCUACGACUCCCUGUCUCUUAAUGUCCCACUUGGGAUCCACAGGGGUAGCCUGCCACGACUUAUGUUUGGGUCCCAAUGGCGGUCCUUAUCAUGGCUGUCCCCAUUGUCUGGCUGAGUUGCCCUCUCAGGGUAGGAUCGUAUGGGGCCAUUCACGUCCUAUGUCAGCUAGUGGACGACUCAUGUGCGUUUCUCAAGAUUCUGGCAUUGCUAAGGAUCUCUUGGUCUGCAGUCUACCAAGAGGAGUAUACCGUACGGGAGCCCUAUCUCUUGACAGUUUUUUCCGCUUACGGUUUCCCCCCAGUACAUCUUGUAUUUCAUCGCGUUCUGACGUCAUGGUAUCGACGUGUCUUCUUCCUUCUUGCCGUUCAGUACAUCGGCUUCUGCACAACACAUAUUUCAUUUUUAUUCGUCCUCUGUGUCGUACCCCUAUUCUCCGGAUAGGCCACAGCUCUGUUGACAGAUUGUACACGACCAUGUAGAUCCAGGAUCUGGCUCUUUCGUCCGUCUACUCAUGGACAGCUGUUUAUUUCUGCGUAUGGCCGUUUUGGACUGUUUCUGCAUCUUCGCUCGCCCGUUGGAUUUGGUGGAUCCUCUCAUUGACUGACCUUGAGUUCCUCUGUGACACUUUUGGUUCGGGGUGCUGUCACCUCAACAAUUUUGGAAGCCGUUGGGUCCCUUCUGCAUUUUCUCUACACCGCUGCUUUGUUUAGGGAAUCAGUUUUUCCAUUCUCCUUUUAUUUCAGUCCUCUAUCUCAUAUUGCUUCUGGUUCUACUAUUUGGGCGUUAAAAUUGCAAAUAUGAAGCCUCCUGUCCUGCCAUAAAAUUAGGGAUUAUUCUAGCCUCGGUGAGGGAAUAAUCUAAAUUUUAUUAAAGACAGGAGGCGAAUAUUUCCCCCCCUUUUUUUACGUUCCCUCCCUGGAUCUGGGUUUUAUUCUAUUAUAAAUAAUU